UGUGGGAGCGGGCUUGCUCGCGAUUGGAUCGCCGUGGUUUGACAGAGAAACCGCGUCGUUGCCAUCGCGAGCAAGCCCGCUCCCACA
RNAcentral lists this unclassified non-coding RNA (87 nucleotides) under Pseudomonas fragi. The record is from RNAcentral. Lineage: Bacteria; Pseudomonadati; Pseudomonadota; Gammaproteobacteria; Pseudomonadales; Pseudomonadaceae.